GCCGGGUGUGGUGGCUGACGCCUGUAAUCCCAGCACUUUUGGAGGCCGAGGCGGGUGGAUCACCUGAGGUCAGGACUUCGGAUCAGCCUGACCGACAUGGUGAAACCCUGUCUCUA
Molecule: unclassified non-coding RNA, 116 nt
Organism: Papio anubis (olive baboon)
Lineage: Eukaryota; Metazoa; Chordata; Mammalia; Primates; Cercopithecidae
Rfam family: Metazoan signal recognition particle RNA
About the family: The signal recognition particle (SRP) is a universally conserved ribonucleoprotein. It is involved in the co-translational targeting of proteins to membranes. The eukaryotic SRP consists of a 300-nucleotide 7S RNA and six proteins: SRPs 72, 68, 54, 19, 14, and 9.
Source: Ensembl